This 114-nucleotide ribosomal RNA is filed under the name Acanthosepion pharaonis. The record is from RNAcentral. Lineage: Eukaryota; Metazoa; Mollusca; Cephalopoda; Sepiida; Sepiidae.
UUAUGGUCAUAUCAUGUUGAAAUACCAGUUCCCAUACGAUCACCAAAGCUAAGCAAUGUUGAGCCUGGUCAGUACCUAGGUGGGUGACUGCUUGGGAAUACUAGGUGCUGUAAG